RNAcentral lists this ribosomal RNA (597 nucleotides) under Rusavskia elegans. RNAcentral's name for it is "partial large subunit ribosomal RNA". It matches the Rfam family "Eukaryotic large subunit ribosomal RNA", at positions 354 to 969 of the family's 3401-position model. The record is from RNAcentral. Lineage: Eukaryota; Fungi; Ascomycota; Lecanoromycetes; Teloschistales; Teloschistaceae.
UGAUCGAAAGAUGAAAAGCACUUUGGAAAGAGAGUCAAACAGUACGUGAAAUUGUUGAAAGGGAAGCGCUUGCAACCAGACCUGCCCGCGGGCGAUCAGCCGUCCUUCUGGGCGGUGCACUCGCCCGCGAUCAGGCCAGCAUCGGUUCGGGCGGUCGGAUAAAGGCCUCGGGAACGUGGCUCCCCUCGGGGAGUGUUAUAGCCCUUGGUGCAAUGCGGCCUGCCCGGACCGAGGACCGCGCUUCGGCUAGGAUGCUGGCGUAAUGGUUGUAAGCGGCCCGUCUUGAAACACGGACCAAGGAGUCGACCAACUAUGCGAGUGUUUGGGCGUCAAACCCACACGCGCAAUGAAAGUGAACGGAGGUGGGAACCCCUCGCGGGGCGCACCAUCGACCGAUCCAGAUGUCUUCGGAUGGAUUUGAGUACGAGCAUAGCUGGUCGGACCCGAAAGAUGGUGAACUAUGCCUGAAUAGGGUGAGGCCAGAGGAAACUCUGGUGGAGGCUCGCAGCGGUUCUGACGUGCAAAUCGAUCGUCAAAUUUGGGCAUAGGGGCGAAAGACUAAUCGAACCAUCUAGUAGCUGGUUCCAGCCGAAGUUC